CCCGGCACUGAUUCGAGAUCUCGCCGGCUUGCUUCACUGAACCUACAACUGACGCAACCUCGGGCUAUUGCGAGGUGACGUGCAUACCUCGCCGCGCCACCCUAAGCAGUCGUCUCCCAGGUAGCUGAGGUGCCUCUUCCCUCCCGAGGAAUAAGGAUUUAUAGCAGUGGUGUCCAUCUUCCUUCGUCUCGCAUAAUUCUCGGCGUGCGCGUGUCCCGUGAUUCAGCGAGCACAGGUAAUCCCGGUUGAUUAAGAGGGAGAGCAGCCAGGUAACGUGCAGCCCGAGGUGCUUUGGGAGGCGGCCAGCGUCUGUGUUAUUGGCGGCGAUUUGAGCUAAAAACAACACCAGUCAAGGCUGUCUGUGUGUCUGUCUGGCGCUAACGGGAGUGAGGAGGAGGCUACAAAAAGGGGAACUAAAGAAUGAUCAUACUUACCUCACUGAAGACUGCAUCAUCAGGGCAUCUGGCUGGCGCCUGUUUGUGUAAGUGUGUCUCGGGCGGCAUCACGACCUCUUACUCACAGGGUAGGCGGUGGCUGAAGUGGUAGCGUGUUGGGCCCAUAUUCACCGCGUGAUGGACGACACGAGUUCGAAUCCCCACGUUACCACCUCGGAUUUUUCAGUCACCGCCGAGUGGCUUAAAACUACCCACAUGCUGUCCUGAAGACCAUCCAUGAACCCGGACUCUAGAGGAAACCGUCCAAGAAUCAAGAACGAGUUCCGGGGGGCAGCAUGAGCCAAGAAAAGAUGGCGGCACUAUAAACACUUGCCUGCGCCAUGACGGGCUAGGGCCGAAUACCAUCCAGGCCCCUCAAGCGAGCCUACCGGCGCAAUAGGCGGAGACGUAAAAAAAAAAAAAAUUAAAGAAAAAUGUGAAGAAUUGGAGAAUGGAAAGCAGAGAGAGGUAGAAGGAAGGUGAAAGACAGAUGGACAACUGGUGUUAUUCCAUGUCUUUCUCCUAAUUUUACUUUUUUUUUGUUCUAGAUUUUUAGAUUGAGGAAAAAGCACGGUGCAGGUGAAAGAAAGGUGAAAGGUGGACGGACAGUUGCUGAGGCCAUUACAUUCUUCUUCCCUAAUCGUUCCUUCCGCUUCCUGACAGUCUUUAAGCCAACUUGUUUUUCAGUGCUCUUUUCUAACACUGGGAGGUGGAUAAACAGUUGAAGCCAUUCUAUUUUUUUCCCCUAAUUGUUUUCUCCGCUUCCUAAUAUCUUUUCUAAGCCAUUUUCUCUUCAGUGCCUCUUUUAUCUCCUCUUCUAAAACACACACACACACACACACACACACACACACACACACACACACACACACACACACACACACACACACACACACACACACACACACACACACACACACACACACACACACACACACACACACACACACACACACACACACACACAUACACACACACACAGAGUCAUGUGCAAUAACACCUUUGUUCAGCGGCGACGACUACAAAUGCCUCA
Molecule: long non-coding RNA, 1467 nt
Organism: Eriocheir sinensis (Chinese mitten crab)
Lineage: Eukaryota; Metazoa; Arthropoda; Malacostraca; Decapoda; Varunidae
Exons: 5
Source: RefSeq, a predicted model, not a curated record